AUUGAUUUGAAGGAGAAGGAAAUACCAGAAUUAAGAAACAAACUGCAGAAUGUCAAUAGAGACAUACAGCGCCUAAAGAACGACAUAGAAGAACAAGAAACACUCUUGGGUACAAUAAUGCCUGAAGAAGAAAGUGCCAAAGUAUGCCUGACAGAUGUUACAAUUAUGGAGAGGUUCCAGUUUCUAGUAAGAUUGAAUUGAAUCGUAAGCUUAUACAGGACCAGCAGGAACAGAUUCAACAUCUAAAAAGUACAACAAAUGAGCUAAAAUCUGAGAAACUUCAGAUAUCCACUAAUUUGCAACGUCGUCAGCAACUGGAGGAGCAGACUGUGGAAUUAUCCACUGAAGUUCAGUCUUUGUACAGAGAGAUAAAGGUAAGAAUAUCCAUACAUGUUUUUUGUAA
Molecule: long non-coding RNA, 403 nt
Filed under: Homo sapiens (human)
Lineage: Eukaryota; Metazoa; Chordata; Mammalia; Primates; Hominidae
Description: long non-coding RNA NONHSAT103763.2
Source: RNAcentral